Molecule: ribosomal RNA, 1163 nt
Filed under: Staphylococcus aureus
Lineage: Bacteria; Bacillati; Bacillota; Bacilli; Caryophanales; Staphylococcaceae
Description: partial 23S ribosomal RNA
Rfam family: Bacterial large subunit ribosomal RNA
Source: RNAcentral
ACCGACACAGGUAGUCAAGAUGAGAAUUCUAAGGUGAGCGAGCGAACUCUCGUUAAGGAACUCGGCAAAAUGACCCCGUAACUUCGGGAGAAGGGGUGCUCUUUAGGGUUAACGCCCAGAAGAGCCGCAGUGAAUAGGCCCAAGCGACUGUUUAUCAAAAACACAGGUCUCUGCUAAACCGUAAGGUGAUGUAUAGGGGCUGACGCCUGCCCGGUGCUGGAAGGUUAAGAGGAGUGGUUAGCUUCUGCGAAGCUACGAAUCGAAGCCCCAGUAAACGGCGGCCGUAACUAUAACGGUCCUAAGGUAGCGAAAUUCCUUGUCGGGUAAGUUCCGACCCGCACGAAAGGCGUAACGAUUUGGGCACUGUCUCAACGAGAGACUCGGUGAAAUCAUAGUACCUGUGAAGAUGCAGGUUACCCGCGACAGGACGGAAAGACCCCGUGGAGCUUUACUGUAGCCUGAUAUUGAAAUUCGGCACAGCUUGUACAGGAUAGGUAGGAGCCUUUGAAACGUGAGCGCUAGCUUACGUGGAGGCGCUGGUGGGAUACUACCCUAGCUGUGUUGGCUUUCUAACCCGCACCACUUAUCGUGGUGGGAGACAGUGUCAGGCGGGCAGUUUGACUGGGGCGGUCGCCUCCUAAAAGGUAACGGAGGCGCUCAAAGGUUCCCUCAGAAUGGUUGGAAAUCAUUCAUAGAGUGUAAAGGCAUAAGGGAGCUUGACUGCGAGACCUACAAGUCGAGCAGGGUCGAAAGACGGACUUAGUGAUCCGGUGGUUCCGCAUGGAAGGGCCAUCGCUCAACGGAUAAAAGCUACCCCGGGGAUAACAGGCUUAUCUCCCCCAAGAGUUCACAUCGACGGGGAGGUUUGGCACCUCGAUGUCGGCUCAUCGCAUCCUGGGGCUGUAGUCGGUCCCAAGGGUUGGGCUGUUCGCCCAUUAAAGCGGUACGCGAGCUGGGUUCAGAACGUCGUGAGACAGUUCGGUCCCUAUCCGUCGUGGGCGUAGGAAAUUUGAGAGGAGCUGUCCUUAGUACGAGAGGACCGGGAUGGACAUACCUCUGGUGUACCAGUUGUCGUGCCAACGGCAUAGCUGGGUAGCUAUGUGUGGACGGGAUAAGUGCUGAAAGCAUCUAAGCAUGAAGCCCUCCUCAAGAUGAGAUUUCCC